AGCCAUGCAUGUCUAAGUACAAGCCUCAGUAAGGUGAAACCGCGAAACGCUCAUUAAAUCACGUCGCAUUCUACGGCCCCUUGAUUUUACAAGGAUAAUUUCGGUAAUUCUGGAACUAAUACAUGCACACAAGGCCCAAACUUGCGUGCGGGCUGCUUUUAUUAGCUCAAAACCAAACGGCUUCGGCCGUUCCCACUGGUGAUUCUGAAUAACUUUGUGCCGAUCGCACGGCCUUGCGCCGGCAACAGAGGCCUCGACGGCGUGCCCUAUCAACUGUCGACGGUGGUAUAAACUUCCACAGUGGUUUUGACGGGUAACGGGGAAUUAGGGUUCGAUUCCGGAAAGGGAGCCUGAAAAACGGCUACCACUUCUAAGGAAGGCAGCAGGCACGCAAAUUACCCACUGGUCGCAGACCGAGGUAGUGACGAUAAAUAACGAUACCGGACUCAUCCGAGGCCCGGUAAUCGGAAUGAGUACACUUUAAAUCCUUUAACGAGGAACCAUUGGAGGGCAAGUCUGGUGCCAGCAGCCGCGGUAAUUCCAGCUCCAAUAGCGUAUAUUAAAGUUGUUGCGGUUAAAAAGCUCGUAGUUGGAUCUCGGCGCGCCGGGGGCUGUUCGCUGUUCAGCGCUACGGUCCCACGGGCGCGUGAUGGUGCCGGAAGGUCGCGGGGUGCUCUUAAUCGAGUGUCCCGGGGGCGCCGGCAGGUUUACUUUGAAAAAAUUAGAGUGCUCAAAGCAGCUUGACACGCUUGAAUAUUCGUGCAUGGAAUAAUGGAAUAGACGUCGUUCUAUUUUGUUGGUUUUCGGAAUUUGACGUAAUGAUUAAUAGGGACAGUCGGGGGCAUUAGUAUUCCGGCGACAGAGGUGAAAUUCUUGGACCGCCGGAAGACUGACGACUGCGAAAGCAUUUGCCAAGAAUGUUUUCAUCAAUCAAGAACGAAAGUUAGAGGUUCGAAGGCGAUCAGAUACCGCCCUAGUUCUAACCAUAAACGAUGCCAGCUAGCGAUCCGUGGAUGUUUUUUCUGUAGGCUCCACGGGCAGCUUCCGGGAAACCAAAGCGUGUGGGUUCCGGGGGAAGUAUGGUUGCAAAGCUGAAACUUAAAGGAAUUGACGGAAGGGCACCACCAGGAGUGGAGCCUGCGGCUUAAUUUGACUCAACACGGGAAAUCUCACCAGGCCCGGACACUGGAAGGAUUGACAGAUUGAGAGCUCUUUCUCGAUUCGGUGGGUGGUGGUGCAUGGCCGUUCUUAGUUGGUGGAGUGAUUUGUCUGGUUAAUUCCGAUAACGAACGAGACUCUGUCCUGCUAAAUAGUUGCCGCGUCUUCUGCGCGCGGCAAAUUCUUCUUAGAGGGACUGGUGGCGUCUAGCCACACGAGAUUGAGCAAUAACAGGUCUGUGAUGCCCUUAGAUGUUCUGGGCCGCACGUGCGCUACACUGAAGGGAUCAACGUGUUUUCCCUGGGCGAGAGCCUCGGGUAACCCGCUGAACCCCCUUCGUGGUAGGGAUCGGGGCUUGCAAUUAUUCCCCGUGAACCAGGAAUUCCCAGUAAGCGCGAGUCAUAAGCUCGCGUUGAUUACGUCCCUGCCCUUUGUACACACCGCCCGUCGCUACUACCGAUUGAACGUUUUAGUGAGGUAUUUGGAUCGGACCUCUCGCGGUUGCGCCGCGGGUGCUGUCUGAGAAGACUCCCAAACUGAGCGUUUAGAGAAAGUAAAAG
This 1718-nucleotide ribosomal RNA is filed under the name Misophriidae sp. HT-2017. RNAcentral's name for it is "SSU rRNA". It matches the Rfam family "Eukaryotic small subunit ribosomal RNA". Lineage: Eukaryota; Metazoa; Arthropoda; Copepoda; Misophrioida; Misophriidae. The record is from RNAcentral.